UACGAAGGGGGCUAGCGUUGUUCGGAAUUACUGGGCGUAAAGCGUAUGCAGGCGGACCUUUAAGUCAGGGGUGAAAUCCUGAGGCUCAACCUCAGAACUGCCUUUGAUACUGGAGAUCUUGAGUCCGGGAGAGGUUAGUGGAACUGCGAGUGUAGAGGUGAAAUUCGUAGAUAUUCGCAAGAACACCAGUGGCGAAGGCGGCUCACUGGCCCGAUACUGACGCUGAGGCACGAAAGCGUGGGGAGCAAACAGG
RNAcentral lists this ribosomal RNA (253 nucleotides) under uncultured bacterium. RNAcentral describes it as "partial 16S ribosomal RNA". It matches the Rfam family "Bacterial small subunit ribosomal RNA", at positions 524 to 776 of the family's 1533-position model. The record is from RNAcentral.